GACGAAGGGGGCUAGCGUUGUUCGGAAUUACUGGGCGUAAAGCGCGUGUAGGCGGUUGUCCAAGUUGGAUGUGAAAGCCUUGAGCUCAACUCAAGAAAUGCAUUCAGGACUGGAUGACUAGAGGACCGGAGAGGAUAGUGGAAUUCCAGGUGUAGCGGUGAAAUGCGUAGAUAUCUGGAGGAACACCGGUGGCGAAGGCGGCAUCCUGGACCGACACUGACACUGAGGAGCGAAAGCCAGGGGAGCAAACGGG
Molecule: ribosomal RNA, 253 nt
Filed under: uncultured bacterium
Lineage: Bacteria
Description: partial 16S ribosomal RNA
Rfam family: Bacterial small subunit ribosomal RNA
Source: RNAcentral